RNAcentral lists this ribosomal RNA (253 nucleotides) under uncultured bacterium. Its description in RNAcentral is "partial 16S ribosomal RNA". It matches the Rfam family "Bacterial small subunit ribosomal RNA", at positions 524 to 776 of the family's 1533-position model. The record is from RNAcentral.
UACGGGGGGGGCAAGCGUUGUUCGGAAUUACUGGGCGUAAAGGGUCCGUAGGUGGCCAACUAAGUCAGACGUGAAAUCCCUCAGCUUAACUGGGGAACUGCGUCUGAGACUGGAUGGCUCGAGUGCAGGAGAGGAAUGCGGAAUUCCAGGUGUAGCGGUGAAAUGCGUAGAUAUCUGGAGGAACACCGGUGGCGAAGGCGGCAUUCUGGACUGCAACUGACACUGAACGACGAAAGCCAGGGGAGCAAACGGG